Homo sapiens (human) is the source of this 148-nucleotide non-coding RNA. It matches the Rfam family "Metazoan signal recognition particle RNA". Rfam says of the family: The signal recognition particle (SRP) is a universally conserved ribonucleoprotein. It is involved in the co-translational targeting of proteins to membranes. NCBI's taxonomy places the organism in Eukaryota, Metazoa, Chordata, Mammalia, Primates, Hominidae. The record is from Rfam.
GCUGGGCAUGGAGGUGCACACCUGUAGUUCCAGCUACUUUGGAGGCUGAGGCGGGAGGAUUGCUUGGGCCCAGGAGUUUGAGGUUCCAGUGAGCUAUGAUUGCACCACUGCACUCCAGCCUGGGCAACACAGCAAGAUCCUGUCUUAU